This 118-nucleotide ribosomal RNA is filed under the name Lepisosteus oculatus (spotted gar). Lineage: Eukaryota; Metazoa; Chordata; Actinopteri; Semionotiformes; Lepisosteidae. The record is from RNAcentral.
GCCACCAGCCAUAUCACCCUGCAACUCCCAGCUGGCAGCCCACUGGAGCUCAGCAGGUGUGAGCCUGGUCAGUACCUGGAUGGGAGACUCCUGGGAAAAACUAAGGUUGCUGCUGGAA